AUUUAAAUAUUUUAAUAAAAAUAAAGAUUUGUGGUGUCUUAGAUGUUGAUUAAUUUAACUUUAAAUU
This 67-nucleotide transfer RNA is filed under the name Alnetoidia dujuanensis. Its description in RNAcentral is "tRNA-His". Lineage: Eukaryota; Metazoa; Arthropoda; Insecta; Hemiptera; Cicadellidae. The record is from RNAcentral.